CUUCUGCUAUGAUGAUUUUUUGAAUAAAUUUUACAUGUCAGACUUUUAGAGAUUUUUGUUUAUCAUUAAGAAUCUUUGAUAAUAAAAAAUCAGAGCAGAAG
Small nucleolar RNA from Arabidopsis thaliana (thale cress), 101 nucleotides. It matches the Rfam family "Small nucleolar RNA R64/Z200 family". From Rfam's summary of the family: This family of plant small nucleolar RNAs belong to the C/D class of snoRNA which contain the C (UGAUGA) and D (CUGA) box motifs. This family includes Arabidopsis thaliana snoRNA R64 and Oryza sativa snoRNAs Z200 and J16. The record is from Rfam. Lineage: Eukaryota; Viridiplantae; Streptophyta; Magnoliopsida; Brassicales; Brassicaceae.